GUGUGCUCAGCAAGUUGAGAAACAAAGUUGUAAAAGCAUUGUGUGGGAAUCAUAUAUGUACGCACAAGAGUACGACCACAGCAACUUGUAGACUAGAUUAGAUUAGAUGUGCACCGUCUUGAAUUCAAAUUUUGAUUUUUUUUCAUUAGUUUUACAGCACUGCAGGCGAUGUAUAAUGUUAAAGCACAGGAUCUCAUAGGGGGUAAAAUCUUUUUAAGAUAGUAGUUUGACCUGCGGAAAUGUAUUUUUCUUAGGUAUUUUCUGGUAUUCUUCCACUGACUUGCACAAGAAUCAAAAUUACUUGAGUGUUAUAAACAGUCCAGGGACACAGCGAAGACUGAAAAUAAUCCGAGGAACACAAAGGUUAAAACCUUUUACUGGAACAUGACUAUCUGCACUCCACAUACGCUCUACGAGUGAGGGGGUGAUUCAGGGGAAGACACACAACAGCCAACAUUUUCUGGAAAAAUUGGAUUUCCUGUGUUACUCCUCAACAUGCUGAACUACCACCACGAGUGUUUCUUCAUUCACUAGUGGGUAAUAUCAAAAAGGUUGUGUUUGUACUAUGUAUAUGAAUAGCAGGUUGACAUGUUGUAUAGUAUACAGUAUUUUAUUAAACAAUGUACUGUAGUGUACAACCUUUAUGUCCACUUCACCAUAUGUGCCGUUUACUAUAAUGUCAUUUACAGUUUGUCGUGUACGAUAUUGUCUUUAACAUAAAAAGUGUACAUCAGCAUCAAGACCCAGGGGACUGUAACUUCAGGAGGAAGCAACAUAGAGGUAUGAUAUUAUAUUUUAGUAGAAUUUCAUAUACAGUAUAUUAAGAAAUGCAUAUUCAAAUAAACACAUUGUUACAAUGAUAUAAACCCAGGUUCAGAUUAUUCCGAAUAUUUUCAUAGAGAACAUCAUAAUCAGAACAAAACAGAACGCUAAUCUCUUUUCUAAAGGCAUUCUUCCUCAUCUCCACCCCUACUGGCCAGAUUUAAAUAAAACACUGUAGAUAACGACUUCCUUAAUUGUGACAUUUGUUAUUCGCUUUAUGCAGCAACAGCGACUUUUUCCUCUUCUCGUUCAAGCCCAAUAGUAUUUGUUGGACCAUUUUGACUCAAGUUAAGUAUUAAAACAAUGAAAGCGGCCUGAGAACAUUCAGCUGAGUGGCAAUUGGAUGGUUCGAUUUUUCUCCUUUACCACAGUAGCACAAAGAAUUAAGUAAAUAGUUGAUGGAAAUUAGUUCUGCUACAAAUAUACUAUUGCUGCACUCACUUACAUCCACAUGUCGAGUCUUGAUCCAAUGUCUUUGGCAAUUUAAUAAUCAUAUGUCGGCCCAUAUUUCUCCCAUUUUUGCAGCCAUCUGCGUUCGACCAGUCUCCUCUGUACAAGUGAUUUCCCUUUACUCUCAUUAACGCACACAAGGUGAUUAGACAUUUCCUUUGUUCUAAAUCCACUUCCAUACCUGUUUACUUCUUUAAUCUCCAUGUCCUCCUAUUGCUGUGUCCUUAGUUGUGUUCCUCUCUUCCACUGAGCUUUCUUUACUUGAUGACAGCGCAGGUAUUUGAAAUUUAUAAGCCCCACAAUCAAUGCUCUGAUUCGUACCUUUCCCGGGUCUUCAGUUUUGGAAUUGGACUCCUGUGGUUCUUCGUCUUUGAUAUUUUCUUGUUUUUUUUCCUCUGGGCUGCCCUUGUCCUAUUUCUGUGGCUUGGUGCCCUCAAGAUCUCAAGAAUUUGCCAUUGACUUCUUUUUUUCAGGCUUCUUUGAAAACAUCAAGGAACACAUACAGAAAAUAUUUCAUAGCAACAUGUUUGCAAUAACAGAUAUAUUUUCCCUAAAGCAGCACUAUUCACACACUCCUACAAAUUAGACAUUUAAAUGAAUUAUUAAAAUGCUACAUGUUCCAGUAAAAACUUGUACUGCAUCUGCUAUGAUCCCACAAAUUAUUUAUUAGUGGGAUCAUAGCAGUUCUUCUCCCCCCUCUAAAAAUGCCUUUGUCAGUUUCUAUAAUGAUGGCUAAUACUGGGCUCUACUGAAUGGGCUCUACACGCCAUUGCCACUUAGCCUUCUGUCAUACAGUAGCCUACCUACUCUGUAACACUGCUCACAAACUCACUCAAUUGACCUUCAUGGGGCGCCUGAGUCAUUGUGCCAAUAAGCAGCUAGCAUAGUUUAUGCUCUACGCCAGUCGCACCCUGUCAUUUCAAGAGCAAGUGCUAUUCAUGCAAAGUCACUGGGUGCUGUGCAAUCACGGGGUACUUUUUACAAACCUCGUCGUCGAGUGCACAGAAUGGUCGAAGAAGAACCCAAUUUGGCCGGAUUCACGGCCUCAAGUCACGCUUUUGUAACGUCUGAGCAGUAAUUUAUCGCACCUCGGUCUCUUAGCAACGACAAUAGUGACUACACGGGAUCAAGUGCAGAUUGUCUGACUGCAGCCCCUGAUUCUUGAUGAAUAAACUCAAAGAGAAACAGAAAGUCAAAGGUCAAUUUAGCUAUUUAAAGCUUUCUAGAUGGGAGACUGAAUUGUAAUGCAGACAAACAUCAUUUGAAAACCUCUACAUGAACAUAUAAACACGGUUCACAGUUCCCACACACUUAAAGCUAAACAACACGGAGACAUUUCCAAGUACAUGGAUUGCCCAUUUGGAAUUGUUCAUUAUAAUCUGCCUUCCAGUCUGUUUUAGCUGCUGAUUGUGAUUGUCAUCGCUCAGGUGUAUUUUGUAUGUACUAUUCAUAUUUUGAGUCAAGGAUUACGUUAAAUUGUUCUUUGCGUGUAUAUUAUGUCUGAAGAGAACCUCAAAAUCAAUAAGUGCGUCUCAGAAUGACACGGACGAGUGUUUUCGGUGGAUUGGGCACUGAUCAAAAGUCCUGCAGCUCCAGCCGUAAAGUAGGAUUCCAUUUUUCAACACCACAUCAUGACUACCUGCCUCCUUUCGUCCAAAUAGAAUGAUCCAGAUGAGUGUUGAUAAACGCAGUGGUUAAAAUAUACAGGGUAUGGGAAAAAUGAAAGGAGGUCCAAGAUAAGAGGCUGCCAGUGUGUCGCUUUGUAGGGGUUUUGUACCAACGCUCGGGGACGUUCUGGCUCUGAAUAAAUUCAUUCAGGCUCGAGGAUGACUGUGAAAAUUUCAGUCAUUGUUAAUAAGAAUUCUUUUUGUUCACUUGUCUUCCAUGUUGCAUUUAUAUUCUCAAUAGAGCGAUGUCUUGCACGAUAACACAGACAUUAUCAACAAAGCAUCAGUGGUCCUGUUGGUGCCUGAAUAUUUCAUGUGUUUUUUUUCUUCGUAAAAAGGCGGAGAAAAUGGAGUCAUGCAGCUGGCUUAUUUUAAUUUGCUCCAGCUCAUGUUUGAUUAAUGCCAGUUUUUCUUGUCAGAGCUCAUGCAGCACCAUUAUUUACACAACACCUUGCUCCAUUUGCAAAUAGCUCUUACUUUCAAAGAUUUGUAAUGGUACAUUUUUAAAUGCGUAUGAAAUAAUUAAUAUAACAAUUGGUCAAUUUUAUAAUUUGGCAUAUAUUGAAAUCAGCAGUUUCUUUACCUCAAAAUACAUGGGUUUCAUCUAAAUUUCAAUUAUGUGAUUGGUUGUGUUUUAUUGGCGGUACAUUAAUUGUCAAAUUAGCUGCGUUUCGUUUUCAUGGCAGUGAUUUCAUUGAGACCUCAUUUGAACUCUGUGUCGGGAGGGAAGAGGAGGAAACAUUAAAAGGGUUUCAAAAGUCCAACAAAGCCAAACAGACGUCCAUAUUCGUAGCCAGCAAAGCGUUGGUGGAACACCUCAGCGUUCAUACAGCAACCCUGUGACCGCCGAAGCGCUAUUCCCAUCAUGCUCUUUCCAUUGGAUGGAUGUUCAAAUACAGCAUUUCAACAAUUUCAGUGGACCACAUCCAUAAAGACCCCCCCCCCCUCUCUCUCUCUCUCUCUCUGUGUUGCUGUCUCUGUCUCUCUCCCUUUUUCACUCACCCUUUCAAUCUUGCUCUCUUUUUCACUCGCGGUGUCUCAUUUUCCCUUGUGCAGUAUGACAUAGUCCAUUAUCUGCUCUUAGUACUAAUUGGUGUGUUAACGCCAUACUGUGGGUGACACAGUGAGGGAGAGAGAGAGAGAGAGAGAGAGAGAGAGGGAGGGAGAGACACAGGAUGAAUAUGGAUGAGGCGCAUGCAGUGGGGGCGAGGGGGGCUCUGGGGGAGGCAAGUUCGAAGUGAUUCUGCGGGAGUUAGAAAGAAUGGGAGGCCAAGGUAAAUGUUUUCAGCUACACAAGUGGUUAAGAGCAGCAUGGCGAAAUGACGAGUGAAGGGGGAGAAAAAAAAGAGAGAACCAUUCUGUAAUGGCUAGUGGUUGUUUUUCCUUCAGUUGGCCUUCUCUUUCCCUUUCUCUCUCCCUUUCUGUCCUGCUCUCACCGUCACCACUUUCAACCCAAUUAUCCACUCUCUCUGGCGCCACUGGCAGCAUAUGGAAAUGUAAAUUGCAAGUGAGAUGGUUUUUUUGUUUUUUUUCAAAGCUGUGGAAGGUAAGCAGCUCUUGAGGAUGUGAAGAGUAGGAGGAAGAAAAAGAAGAGAUGACAAACAACUGAAACUGAAGGACCACCUUUGGUCCCAAUAGCUUGUCGCUGUUGCUGCUCUAUCAGAUACACAAAUCCACCCGAGGAAGAAAAUUGAGUAGACUGAGGCUGAUGUCUGCCGCGCACACAAACACACACACACACACACACAUACAGGAAAGUUUAAAAAAACGGGUGGUGUAGAAUGUGCAUGCAUUUGCCAUGAUAUUUACAACAUCAGUCGAUACUGGACAGUCUCAGUUGGUAGAAUUUGCAUAAGGAUACGCUCCUUAAAUGGGCCUCGGCGUUCUGUCAUGCUCACAUGCCCAGUGCCGAAUUUACACACUUAAUGAGAUGCAGAGACUCCAACGCAGUUGCAGCACAGAGGUACACUUCCUCUGCGCUUGAGAGGCUCUUCAUACGGGGGCCCGGAUGAGCCCUCGGGCUGGUGAAUAGCUGCCGAGGCUCAGGAUGCGGAGAUCAAAAGGUGCAUCUUCUUCCAAUCAUGUGACAUUGAGACAUGUACGGGCAGAUUAUUCAGAUAAGCAGGCCCAUCCUCAGGGGGGUGUAGGCAAAAUGGAGGCGAGUGUUUUGUUCAUUAUCAUUAAGAUCUGGCUUUUCCUCUGUUCACCUCUCUUCUCUCCACGUGCUUAUGUUCCACCCCCGCAGUGCUGAUGAAGCCAACUUCUCAGAUCUGCAAUUUGCUCAAUUAUUUUCAAUUAUCCCGCCAUCGCUGCUUCUAUCAUUCCCCUUAGUUCAAUUGUGAGCAGAAAUCACUUGUUGAUUGACAGCAAAGGCCAAUUAGAACUGGGAGAAAAAGGCAAACCUCUACGGUAAUUAGUGCUGAUUGGUGUCACGAAGACAUUUUACAGGCUCUACCCACAGAAGUGAAACCCUUGUUUUUACCACUCAGCCGCUCUUAUCACCGGCACACUGUGUGUUUUAGUUUGAGUCCUGUUUCGACAGUUUAGAGUUAGCAGAAUUACGUAUAGUUAAAUGUUACUUUCCACAGCUAAAUUAAAUGGAGUGCCAUGUGUUCUUUCAAAAGGAAGUUUUGAGAUAGUGUGAAUUUCUAUCCAGCCACAGCAUCAUGUCUGUGUGCCUUUAGAACAUUAACUUUAAGGUAUCUCUCCAGAAGACUUCAGAAAGACUGGUCACAUGAGGGCUGAGUGAUGAACUGCUUUUGAGCACGACAGAGACCCACUAAUUCAAUAUGCAUCCGGCAGUUUUUCUGUCUGGGUUUGUUCCACAUGCUUCCUAGUGGCGUAAUGUAGUGUAACCUCAGGCAAAAUGAAACAUAUUUUUCUUCACAUACUUUCAUUUUGGUUUUAAAUCUGUGGAUAUUAUAUGUUUUAUCAGGUUUUGUGCACAAUAAUCCAUUUAUUUACAAUCUGUUAUGAAACGUGUGACGUGACCUUCGUACUGCUUUUGUUCUUGUAAUUUCGGGAGACAACUUUCUUAUUUUUUGCAUAUGUGUUUUUCAGGGUCAACACGGAUGCUGCUUACUGCUCAAAUUGUUGUUGUUUUUUAAAAAGAUAUAUGAAUUACAGAAUUUAUUAAAGCAUCAAACAACUAUUUUUCUGUGUCUAGUAGUAUCUACCUGUGUGUGUGUGUGUGUGUGUGUGUGCGCGAGCGCCUGUGUUUACAUUGCCGUGUGUCCAACAGCUCAGCGCUGUGCUCAUAGUUACAGAUGACGCACUAUCAGCAUCGUCAGCACCGUUAGCUGCUAGACGCCGACCUUGCAGCCACGAUGAGAAGACAAUAUGCUCUUAAAUAUUUGCAAUUACUACAUUUAACCACGACAAUAACACAAAAUAAUCAGUUUUACCGGCGUUUGCUGCCUUCAGAUUUACUCAAACCUCCGCUUAAACAAAACCAGACUAACAAAGUGUGUACUCGACGAUUAAUCCGACUUAUGAAAUGUUUUUCAUCCCAACCCUGGAUGUUCUGUUACUGCCAUUUUUUAACUGCACAAAAAUGACUUCGACCCACACACACUUUAUGUGUAAAAGAUUGCACAUUUAUCACUACAAAGAUCCUCGCUGCUGCCACGGCCAGCAUUUGCAUCUUAGGUUGUUCUCACCGCUGUGAGGUUGAACUUUUUGUUCUCUCUAGUGUGAUAGUCCUUUACUGAAACCAACUGAACCUCCUCCUCUCGGUGCAAUAACGCUUUAAGAAGCGGCUCACAUGGACCCUGGCUGCUGACUUGAACCAUUGUUUGGGAUGAGUGGGCCGCCUAUGCAAACGGUGGUUACUCAAGACUCCUCUAAUGACAUUAUGGCCCUAAUGAGUUAUAAUUGGGAGGAGAUCUUAACUUGCAGGCCUAAUUGCAUCUGAUUAAAGACAAUAUUAGUUUUACUGCUGGUAAAUUGGAUGGGGAGGGUGGUUUGGAGGAGGGUUGGAGGGAUCAAUGGUGUCCUUGUGGAAAUAUCCCAAAUGCCCCUCCAAAUAGUGAUGAAGAGUUUGAACAAAAGCACAGGAGGAAGCGUGGAGCGGGUAGGGAAAUACUCAACAUGCAGAAAUAGGGCGUUGAGAGGAACUGUGAAGUGGAAGGGAUAAGAUCAGCAUGUCUGAAGGUUAAGAACUCAUCCAGAACGACUC
Molecule: long non-coding RNA, 7116 nt
Organism: Gasterosteus aculeatus aculeatus (three-spined stickleback)
Lineage: Eukaryota; Metazoa; Chordata; Actinopteri; Perciformes; Gasterosteidae
Source: Ensembl